UUACACAAUAAAAUAUGAAGGCCUGGCUUCGCGGCCGGCUGAAAUAUUUUUUCACCCAUGUCUUUUGCGCACUUGUUGUUUCCUGGGCGGGUUCGCCCGCCACCAGGACCAAACCAUAAACCUUUUUCUUAUGCAGUUUCCAUCAGCGUCAGUAAAAACAAUGUAAUAAUUACAACUUUCAACAACGGAUCUCUUGGUUCUGGCAUCGAUGAAGAACGCAGCGAAAUGCGAUACGUAGUGUGAAUUGCAGAAUUCAGUGAAUCAUCGAAUCUUUGAACGCACAUUGCGCCCUUUGGUAUUCCAAAGGGCAUGCCUGUUCGAGCGUCAUUUGUACCUUCAAGCUUUGCUUGGUGUUGGGCGUUUUUGUCUCCCUCUUUCUGGGAGACUCGCCUUAAAACGAUUGGCAGCCGGCCUACUGGUUUCGGAGCGCAGCACAUUUUUUGCGCUUUGUAUCAGGAGAAAAGGACGGUACUCCAUCAAGACUUUUACAAUUUUAACUUUUGACCUCGGAUCAGGUAGGGAUACCCGCUGAACUUAAGCAUAUCAAUAA
RNAcentral lists this small RNA (550 nucleotides) under Bipolaris cynodontis. Its description in RNAcentral is "eukaryotic LSU rRNA". The stretch from base 174 to 327 matches the Rfam family "5.8S ribosomal RNA". The record is from RNAcentral. Lineage: Eukaryota; Fungi; Ascomycota; Dothideomycetes; Pleosporales; Pleosporaceae.